Long non-coding RNA from Brienomyrus brachyistius, 315 nucleotides. RefSeq lists it as uncharacterized. The transcript is spliced from 3 exons. The record is from RefSeq and is a predicted model, not a curated record. NCBI's taxonomy places the organism in Eukaryota, Metazoa, Chordata, Actinopteri, Osteoglossiformes, Mormyridae.
UGUCUGAUUUAACCUGUGGCUAAGAUCCGUGACAUGCCAUAAUGGACCAGCGUGCUCACGCCUGCUUUCAGCACAGACACAAAGCGAGGUUCAGUGUCCAUGGGACCUACGCCUACUUUCAGCACAGACACAAAGCGAGGUUCAGUGUCCAUGGGACCUACGCCUACUUUCAGCACAGACACAAAGCGAGGUGCAGUGUCCAUGGGACCUACGCCUACUUUCAGCACAGACACAAAGCGAGGUGCAGUGUCCAUGGGACCUACGCCUACUUUCAGCACAGACACAAAGCGAGGUUCAGUAUCUAUGGGACCUACG